This 3240-nucleotide long non-coding RNA is filed under the name Solanum tuberosum (potato). RNAcentral's name for it is "long non-coding RNA (STUB_LNC003652)". The record is from RNAcentral. Lineage: Eukaryota; Viridiplantae; Streptophyta; Magnoliopsida; Solanales; Solanaceae.
UGUCAUUUGCUAAAGUCGUUGGUGUCAUUUGCUACUCUAUUAUUAUUAUUAUAAAUAAAUAGAGUGACAUAUAAUUAAUUGUAUUGGUGUUGUUUGUAUAGUGUGUAGUGAAAAAAGAUCGAAUGGAGAGAAAAUACGAGAGUGAGAAAUUUGUUUCUUUGCCCCUCCUGUUGGGUGGAUCUGAUGAAACUGAUCAGACUGGAAAAACCUCUUUUAUCAAAACCACUUUUCACGGACUCAAUGCUCUAUCAGGUUCUUUUCUUCUCACUUUCCAAUUAUGCAUUAAUCUUAGCAUCUUCAUCCAAACUCCUCUCCCAUUUCCUUCUAAAUUUACUCUAUUCUUCACCAAAAAAACCCUCUCUCCACACCCAAUUUCAUAAAUAAUGCAAGAUUUGUAGUAUUUAAAACAAAUCAUAAAUAUUUGUGUUAUUAAAAAUUAUUGUUACUAAAUAUAUCAGUUUCUUCCUGUCUAAGUAAACUGGAAAUUGUUUCACGUAAAUGGGGAAUCAAUGUUUCAAAUUGAAUAGCUCUCUUGGAAAAUAAAACGGAAAAAGUUCAAAUAUAGCAUCUAGCUUUCAGUUUUGAGAAAAGAUUUAUUUAUGUCCCUCUUUAAAAAUUUGGGUUAUCGAUGUUAUUUUUGUUUGAAACAAAAUUCAUUCAUUUACAUCAUUAUUCAAAGUUCGAUUAAGUUUUUUUCCCUUUAUUCAAUAUUUUGAAAAAUCUACAGUUGUCUUCUUAUAAAAAAUCAAAUUAUUCUCUUUUUUUUUAAUCUUUUUAAGAUUUCGUCACUAUAUUGAAGAACAGUAACACUAAUUUAAAAUUAUUAUAUAAAGUUAUUAAAAUUUUGAACAAAAUUUUAUUAUUAUAAUUUGAUAUUAUAUUUUUCGUUAAAAAUUUACAUUAUUGAUAUUCUUACUUCAUAACCUUAACCUAUAAAUAUGACAAUCUUUCUUUGAAAUUAUAUAUAACAAAUCAUUAAAAAAAAAAUUGUGAUUCCUAUUUAAAAAACUAAACUUUAAAGAAAAAUAUAUAUAAUGAUAAUUUUCUUAAAAUUUGGCUUUACACUCUCAAUCCAUCUUAUUGAGUAUAUAUCCUGCUUGGACAACUCAUUGGACAUUCUUUGGCAAAAUACCAUCAUCCCAACUGGAUCACUCAUAGUCUGUCCCCUCCAGUGAUAAGUGGUCCAGUAUUAUCUUGUAAGAUGAUUAAUGUUGUGUGGCUGUCUCCAUUUAUGUAACGAUGUUUGAUUGAAUAUGAUGUUUAUAAAUUCUGUUAGUAAAUCACCUUGCAGACCAACUUAAUUGAUUGUUUUAGAUUCAAUUAAUUAUAAAUAAAAGGAAAAAAGUUUAAGUAUGCAAUCAAAUUUUGAGAAAAAAAAGUUCAUUUAUGUCGUUCAUUAAACGUUUGGCUUAUUUAUUUUAUUUUCGUUUAAGAAAAGAAAAAGUUCAUUCAAACUGAGUGGUAAAAAAGGGAUAAUGCUAAAUUGCUAGAAAAUUUGGCCAGAAAUUUAAAAAGUUCUAUAAUAUCUUUUUUAAUUUAAAAUAAACUGGUCUUUUUUUCAUUUUUUAAUUAAAAAAUAUUAAAGUUGAAAGGAUAAAAAUAUUUUAAAAAAUAAAAUAACAUAGAUAAAAUACCAUUCUGACCAAAAGAAUUUUUCCUUAAAAAAGUAUGCCGACUUUAUCUCAUUAAUGUCUUUUUACUGUUUAGAUCUUCCAUCUUUUCUUUUUGUAGAAGAGGUCAUCAUCUGUCUUUAUUGUUAUAUAACUAGAGCUGUCAUAAGACAUACAAAAAUUGAUAAAUCGAAUGAAUCUUUCUUUAGUGGUUUAUUAGUUUGAAUUAUUGAUUUAACGAUUUUUAAACAAUUAUCCAACAAAAACAUUUAACUAUCAAUUUAAUUUUCUAUUUUUAAAUUUUAGUUAAUGUUCAAAACGAUAAUUCAAUAAGAUAAUAUUGAAAAAAGAAUUAUUUAUUCCAAAUUAUAUUAUAAUAAUGGUUUGACAAAAGAGGUUGCCUAAAUGGUAAUCAGUCUCCACCCGCUAUUCUAUGGUUGAAGAGCAAAAAGGUAGGAGUUCUUCGAAUGAUUGAAAAUAAUAUUUCCUUUGUUUCAAUUUAUAUAGCAUAAAUUAAAUUUCGAGAGCAAAAUAACUUAAGUUUAAUCGUGAUUUUGAGCAUUAAAUCUUUAAAUUUUUUGAUUUUUUUUUAUUUGAUUUAAAAUUACGUAAAAUAGUACUCCCUCCGUUUCACAAAGAAUGACCUCCUUUCCUUUUUAGUCAGUUUAAAAAAGAAUGACCUCUUUCCUUUUUUGGUAACAUUUUACUUUUUGCUUUCCACGUGGCAUGUUUAAGACCACAAGAUUAAGGACAAUUUUGUACAUUUGACAUAACUUUAAUUUAGGACCACAAGAUUCAAAAGUCUUCUUUAUUUACUUAAACUCCGUGUCAAGUCAAAUCAGGUCAUUCUUUGUAAAACGGAGGGAGUACUAUAUAUCAUAAUAAAUGAUAAUUCAAAAUAUUUUAAAGAUGAAUGAAAAUAUUAUGAUCAAUGAAGACUGUUUGAAUUUUGAUAUCCUAAAGGUGCUAUAUAAAUUGAGACUUAAAAAAGUAAUAAUAACAAUAUUGGGUUCAGUACUCCACAGUUUUCCACCAUUGAAAACAUAUUGUAAAAUGUAAAUUCUAUAAAGCACCACCAUCUUGGUUUGGGGUUCUUUAUUCAGUCAAAUUUUAGAGUCAUUUUGGCUUCAAUGAUUUCUAUUUUUAUUUUCCUCUUCAUCAUCAAUUAAUACAAUUUCUUAGAUAUUUUAUUUAAUAUAAGAGAAAAUAGUUAAAUGUAAGUGUAUUUUACUCUUUUUUGAGAGAGCAAAAUCAAUAACAAACAUUAAAAUUUUAUUCAAUCAAUUUAAAAUCUAAGAUCCAAGACAAACAUAGACACAUUUCCUCAUCAAUAACCAUCUUGAAAUCUACCAUGUCAAUCGAUACACCAAAAUUUUAGAGAGCAAUUCUACAAUCAAGAACACUAUGAAUCCAAAAUCUUUCAAAUCAAUGCAAAUUUAAGCUUCAAUAAUCUUAAUAUAGUUACACUCAAUUGAUUUUCUUCAAUAACCCGCAAUAUUAUUUGUAAUUGCUUGCAAAUUUUGUUAACUAAUUUCUCUCAGGUUUGAAGCUCAAGGACCAUCAAACAAGUUUUACAAAUCUUAUUUCAAGUUUCAGACAACCAAUUUAGUAGAUAAAUUUAAUUUCAGCU